CUAGAAUAUUAUUGAGGAAAAAAGAGCUUCUCCCACAGGGACAUGGGAAAGGAAGCAGGGACAUGGGAAAAGUCCAGCUGCUCAGGGUUUGUAAUUGCGAAAGACAGUUUCAUUCCCAUUGAUAACACAACAGACUGCCAGAGGGCUUCACUAAGGUCUUUAACAACAGCAAGUACCCCCUUGGUAUUACCAUACAUACUGAGGAAAUCUUCCUUUUAAGUUUUUCACAGGUUAAUUGAAGUAAUUAUACAUCCAAAGCCAAGCCUAGCCUAAAAGUGUGGAGACAAAGCGCACAUCAUGACCUCGUUGAUUUCCACCACUUUAAUCAUGUGCUUAGCAGUCGCAGCGCUUGAUGGAUCAGAUGCUUUGCUCUGCGACAGGGCCACAUUUGAUUAUGGAGUGCACAAUUACUGUCUACUUGACUACAAGCAACACAUGGCAGCCAGCAACUACCAGGAAGAAUGUCCAUGGCCCAACACUCAACACUACUACUAUUAUUUGGACAACUGUUUCCAACAUAUGGUAGACAUCACAGCAUGCAGUGAGCCUUCUCUGAAGAACAAGAUCUUUUUGGAUCUCCACCGCACAUAUUUUUUUCACUGCCACUUCCUGAAGGACCCUGAUGUGCCUGUGCUGCUGUUGUUUAUGCUGCCCUGCAUCAUCGUUACUUUUGUCUUCUCCUUUCUCUGUAGCUACAUCACCCCCAAGGAAUAAUGCAUCCAUGAUUAACUCACAUUGCUACAAAGACUCUUGUUAGAUUAGGAUUACUAUGAAACAUUCUGAUACAUUUAUGUGACUGACUGACACUCCAAGAUUUGAACACCUACUUAUUAUUAUCUUGUUUUUAGCAGACAAACUGGAAUUAAAUGUAUUUGUAAGAAAAAUGUAUUAGUGUCACUGUUUUAAUCUCAGGUAAAUGUCAGUUCCCAAAUGUAACCUCUUUAUAAGUCAUUUCUGACCAUUAACUUGUUCAUUUUAACUCGCUGAGUUUUGUUGACAAUCAAUUUCUCAUAGUCUCAUAUUGGUCGGUACAAAGGCAUAACCAAGUUGAUUUGUUCACAAGAUGGAUGACUUUUAGGAGUGCCAAUCUUAUUCAUUAGCACACUGCAGUUUUGAAAAUUGUCAUUAAAUUGUAAUAGUACCACCUGUAAUGGGACAUUCGUACAAAGGACCAGUACCAAACCACAGAGAGUAUGUUUGCUUUGCACAACCCUCCACAUUAAGUAUUUUGAGGACUUAAUAGGUUAAUUUUUUUGUUACUCCUAUAAUAGAAAGAGCAAUUUUACAACACAAUAGGCUUAAAACAAUGUAUGUUGAAACACAUCAUAAAUAUUUAUUUUGAGACAAAAAAAUAACAAUUUGUUUAACAGUGGUUUGAAAACAUUUUUUUUUUUUUUUUUACAGUAAUAGUAGUUUCUACUGCUAUUAAAAUAUCCACAUAACAUCAUUAUUUCUUUCAGUAUUGCUAAAGCUAAAGUAAUACAUUACUUAUCAUAAGAACUUGUUUGCCUUUUUUUUUGACAAACUAUACCUCUUACCAUAGUUACAACAAGGCAACACUGAGUUAUAAAAGUGGUCUGUUUGGGACUGACAACAUUUAGACAUGAUUUAAGGAUAACAUGACACAUGGGUGCUGAAUGUAUGGAAAGUAAACAUUUAUACAUUAUAUGCUCUACAGUUGAAAACAAUGGAAACUAGCAGGUGAUAUUUAUAGGUUCGACAAUUUUACAGUUAAGUCAAUUUGCCAACAACCAGAAUAUUACAUUGGUGUGCGGUCAUUGUACUUUCAUAGGAAAAGCAUUAAUUGUCUUUGCUGAGAGCAGUCUAUUAUAUUGACCAGAUCUCAAUGAUCUGAUCAUUAAUUCAGUAACAUCUGGUUGAGUAAACCAAGCUGAAUGGAGCAUUUGAAUGUCUGGUGUCUAUAAGGGUUGCAAUAAAUAAAUAUUAUAAUAAAUAU
Molecule: long non-coding RNA, 1957 nt
Organism: Ictalurus punctatus (channel catfish)
Lineage: Eukaryota; Metazoa; Chordata; Actinopteri; Siluriformes; Ictaluridae
Exons: 4
Source: RefSeq, a predicted model, not a curated record